GUGAAUCAUCGAAUCUUUGAACGCACAUUGCGCCCGCUAGUAUUCUGGCGGGCAUGCCUGUUCGAGCGUCAUUUCAACCAUCAAGCCCCUGUGCUUGUGUUGGAGCCCUGCGGCUGCCGCAGGCUCCCAAACCCAGUGGCGGGCUCGUCGUCGUACCGAGUGCAGUAAACUUACCACGCUCAGGGCACGCGACGGGUGACCGGCCGUAAAACCCCCUACUUCUCAAAGGUUGACCUCGGAUCAGGUAGGAAUACCCGCUGAACUUAAGCAUAUCAAUAAGCGGAGGA
Molecule: unclassified non-coding RNA, 287 nt
Filed under: Lasiosphaeriaceae sp.
Lineage: Eukaryota; Fungi; Ascomycota; Sordariomycetes; Sordariales; Lasiosphaeriaceae
Description: partial contains 5.8S ribosomal RNA, internal transcribed spacer 2, and large subunit ribosomal RNA
Rfam family: 5.8S ribosomal RNA (bases 1-71)
Source: RNAcentral